UCGCAGCCUUGUGAAGUUGCUCUUGGCGAAGCCCGUCGCCUGUGGGUGUUCAGCAAGGCUGCAGACAGCAACUCAAAGAAUGAAAAGGCGUGACUCCCGGAGGAUCGGGAGGUUCACGUGCGAUGUUCCUUGAACAGAUUACCUUUCCUGCUUUCCACGGUGGCCCGGCCUCGCUCGGUGGCCGUCGCCUUUCUUGAGGCAGGUAGAGAAAGAGCCUGGCAGCUAGAUAUUGUUUGAAACAGGAGGAGCUUUUCCUGUCAGGCACUGCCAGCUGCCACAGCA
Non-coding RNA from Salarias fasciatus (jewelled blenny), 282 nucleotides. The record is from Ensembl. Lineage: Eukaryota; Metazoa; Chordata; Actinopteri; Blenniiformes; Blenniidae.